GUGGGCAAUCAACAGGUACCUAAGGCCGAAAGCUAUUGUUACUCCCCUCGGGCAGCCCCGCCCCUAGGGGCAGGGCGAGACAGCGGAAAUGACGACAAUGAGCGUUCUAUUAAAUAUCCGUAGGCGGGCCUCUACCCCUCUCUCGGCCUUAGCGCCAUCUUCGGAGGUUAGUGUCUGUGCUGCUGUGGUCGUAUUCCGAGUACAAUCCAUUAACAUCUGAUCUCUGCACUUACCAUCGUUAUAGCAAACUAACUGCAGACUCUUCUUCUUUCCCCGUAGAAACCUCCGCGCCAUGAGAGCGAAGUGGAGGAAGAAGCGAAUGCGCAGGCUGAAGCGCAAAAGAAGAAAGAUGAGGCAGAGGUCCAAGUAAACUUGUACACCCAUGGAAGCCACAGGAGCAGAAACAAGGGAAGCCCGAGGCCAGGGACGCUGGUACAAAUUGUUGGACUGCUUGCCUACUGUCUAGAACUUGUCUCAGUGGAUCUGGAACAUCGAUGGCUAUUCUGAUCGCCUCAACCACCUUUGAGAGGCCCACCUUGCUCCUAUCAAAACGGUCCCUUUUGGUCCUUUGCCCUGGACCUUUGACAUACUGGACUAGUUCUAUUCUCAGUUGUGGCUGAAUGUAACAUGUAACAAUAAAUAAUCUCUUUUGCUGUCUUAGCUGAAGAAAAAAAUU
Long non-coding RNA from Kogia breviceps (pygmy sperm whale), 676 nucleotides. RefSeq lists it as uncharacterized. The record is from RefSeq and is a predicted model, not a curated record. NCBI's taxonomy places the organism in Eukaryota, Metazoa, Chordata, Mammalia, Artiodactyla, Physeteridae.